This 1215-nucleotide ribosomal RNA is filed under the name metagenome. RNAcentral's name for it is "SSU rRNA". It matches the Rfam family "Eukaryotic small subunit ribosomal RNA", at positions 582 to 1823 of the family's 1831-position model. The record is from RNAcentral.
AUUCCAGCUCCAAUAGCGUAUAUUAAAGUUGUUGCGGUUAAAAAGCCCGUAGUUGGAUCUCGGUUUCACUCAGGUGGUACACCUUGCGGUGUUCACUAUCUGGGUGGACGUUUCUGUUGGUUCGCUCUUGGUGCUCUUCAUCGGGUGCCAUUUGGUGGCCAGCACGUUUACUUUGAAAAAAUUGGAGUGCUCAAGCAGGCGUUACAGCCUGAACAUUAGUGCAUGGAAUAAUGGAAUAGGAUCUCGAUUCUAUUUCGUUGGCUUUCGGAGUCGAGGUAAUGAUUAAUAGGGACAGACGGGGGCAUUCGUACUGCGACGUUAGAGGUGAAAUUCUUGGAUCGUCGCAAGACGAACUACUGCGAAAGCAUUUGCCAAGAAUGUUUUCAUUAAUCAAGAACGAAAGUUAGAGGUUCGAAGGCGAUCAGAUACCGCCCUAGUUCUAACCAUAAACGAUGCCAACCGGCGAUCCGUCGUCGUUAAUUGAAUGACUCGACGGGCAGCCUCCGGGAAACCAGAGUGUUUGGGUUCCGGGGGAAGUAUGGUUGCAAAGCUGAAACUUAAAGGAAUUGACGGAAGGGCACCACCAGGAGUGGAGCCUGCGGCUUAAUUUGACUCAACACGGGAAAUCUCACCAGGCCCGGACACCGGAAGGAUUGACAGAUUGAGAGCUCUUUCUUGGUUCGGUGGGUGGUGGUGCAUGGCCGUUCUUAGUUGGUGGAGCGAUUUGUCUGGUUAAUUCCGAUAACGAACGAGACUCUGGCCUACUAACUAGAAGGUCUAUCCUUUAUGGGUAGGCCUCUGCUUCUUAGAGGGACGGGCGGCGUUUAGCCGCACGAGAAUGAGCAAUAACAGGUCUGUGAUGCCCUUAGAUGUUCUGGGCUGCACGCGCGCUACACUGAAGGAAUCAGCAUGUUCUCCCCUCCCUGAAAAGGGCGGGUAACCCGUUGAAACUCCUUCGUGAUGGGGAUUGGAGAUUGUAAUUAUUCUCCAUGAACGAGGAAUUCCCAGUAGGCGCGAGUCAUCAGCUUGCGUCGAUUACGUCCCUGCCCUCUGUACACACCGCCCGUCGCUACUACCGAUCGAGUGAUUUAGUGAGGACUUCGGACUGGUCUUCAAGUUGGCUUCGGUCGGCUCGAAGUUCCGGAAAGAUGCCCAAACUUGAUCACUUAGAGGAAGUAAAAGUCGUAACAAGGUUUCCGUAGGAACCUGCGGAAG